AGAAUCCUAUCAGGUAAUACCUAGCCAGUAGCCUGUACCGAGUCCUUGGAGUCGAAACGGUAACGUUAGAUUUAAGCGUAGGACAGGGAGCAAACGAGCCGAAACGAAAGUGAAGCUAUUGAGCCGCGAAAUUAUUCUUUUUUUAAUGAAGAGGUCGAUACUGUAUUAGUAGUCGCAGACAACAUUCUAUAAAUUGUUAUGGUGAGAUUUAUGGAACUCUUCCGAGGUCAGAGUGCU
Clostridium sp. BL8 is the source of this 237-nucleotide non-coding RNA. NCBI's taxonomy places the organism in Bacteria, Bacillati, Bacillota, Clostridia, Eubacteriales, Clostridiaceae. The record is from Rfam.